Molecule: ribosomal RNA, 497 nt
Filed under: uncultured bacterium
Lineage: Bacteria
Description: partial 16S ribosomal RNA
Rfam family: Bacterial small subunit ribosomal RNA
Source: RNAcentral
GAUGAACGCUGGCGGCGUGCCUAAUACAUGCAAGUCGAGCGAACAGAUAAGGAGCUUGCUCCUUUGACGUUAGCGGCGGACGGGUGAGUAACACGUGGGUAACCUACCUAUAAGACUGGGAUAACUUCGGGAAACCGGAGCUAAUACCGGAUAAUAUUUCGAACCGCAUGGUUCGAUAGUGAAAGAUGGUUUUGCUAUCACUUAUAGAUGGACCCGCGCCGUAUUAGCUAGUUGGUAAGGUAACGGCUUACCAAGGCGACGAUACGUAGCCGACCUGAGAGGGUGAUCGGCCACACUGGAACUGAGACACGGUCCAGACUCCUACGGGAGGCAGCAGUAGGGAAUCUUCCGCAAUGGGCGAAAGCCUGACGGAGCAACGCCGCGUGAGUGAUGAAGGUCUUCGGAUCGUAAAACUCUGUUAUUAGGGAAGAACAUACGUGUAAGUAACUGUGCACGUCUUGACGGUACCUAAUCAGAAACCCACGGCUAACUACGUG